AGAGUUUGAUCCUGGCUCAGGGUGAAUGCUGGCGGUAUGGAUAAGGCAUGCAAGUCAAGGGGGCCGCAAGGCAACCGGCAGACGAGGUAGUAACGCGUAGGAACGUACCCCGAAGUCUGGUAUAGCUCGCCGAAAGGCGGGGUAAUCCCAGAUAGUCUCGUAAGAGUAAAGAUCCGUCGCUUCGGGAGCGGCCUGCGUAAUAUCAGCUAGUUGGUGAGGUAAUGGCUCACCAAGGCUACGACGUUUAGGGGAGCUGAGAGGCUGACCCCCACCGAUGAGACUGAGAACGGCUCAUACCCCUACGGGGGGCCGCAGCCGAGAAUAUUCGACAAUGGGCGAAAGCCUGAUCGAGCGAUACCGCGUGGUGGAUGAAGCGAUUCGUCGCGUAAACACCUUUUAUGAGGGAAGAAGUUAUUGACAUUACCUCAUGAAUAAGGGGCUCCUAACUCUGUGCCAGCAGGAGCGGUAAUACAGAGGCCCCAAGCAUUACCCGGAAUUACUGGGCGUAAAGGGUGCGUAGGUGGUCGUGUUAGUCGUCCGUUAAAUCUUCCGGCUCAACCGGGAAACUGCGGGCGAAACGGCACGACUCGAGGGCGUGAGAGGUGCAUGGAACUCAUGGUGUAGGGGUGAAAUCCGUUGAUAUCAUGGGGAACACCGAAAGCGAAGGCAGCACUGGCGCGUUCCUGACACUCAAGCACGAAAGCGUGGGUAGCGAAUGGGAUUAGAUACCCCCGUAGUCC
This 740-nucleotide ribosomal RNA is filed under the name uncultured bacterium. Its description in RNAcentral is "bacterial SSU rRNA". It matches the Rfam family "Bacterial small subunit ribosomal RNA", at positions 8 to 796 of the family's 1533-position model. The record is from RNAcentral.